RNAcentral lists this ribosomal RNA (496 nucleotides) under uncultured bacterium. RNAcentral's name for it is "partial 16S ribosomal RNA". It matches the Rfam family "Bacterial small subunit ribosomal RNA", at positions 29 to 507 of the family's 1533-position model. The record is from RNAcentral.
AUGAACGCUGGCGGCGUGCCUAAUACAUGCAAGUCGAGCGAACGGACGAGAAGCUUGCUUCUCUGAUGUUAGCGGCGGACGGGUGAGUAACACGUGGAUAACCUACCUAUAAGACUGAGAUAACUUCGGGAAACCGGAGCUAAUACCGGAUAAUAUUUUGAACCGCAUGGUUCAAAAGUGAAAGACGGUCUUGCUGUCACUUAUAGAUGGAUCCGCGCUGCAUUAGCUAGUUGGUAAGGUAACGGCUUACCAAGGCAACGAUGCAUAGCCGACCUGAGAGGGUGAUCGGCCACACUGGAACUGAGACACGGUCCAGACUCCUACGGGAGGCAGCAGUAGGGAAUCUUCCGCAAUGGGCGAAAGCCUGACGGAGCAACGCCGCGUGAGUGAUGAAGGUCUUCGGAUCGUAAAACUCUGUUAUUAGGGAAGAACAUAUGUGUAAGUAACUGUGCACAUCUUGACGGUACCUAAUCAGAAAGCCACGGCUAACUACGUG